Molecule: ribosomal RNA, 502 nt
Filed under: uncultured bacterium
Lineage: Bacteria
Description: bacterial SSU rRNA
Rfam family: Bacterial small subunit ribosomal RNA
Source: RNAcentral
GGUGCCCUUCGGGGAACAUUGAGACAGGUGGUGCAUGGUUGUCGUCAGCUCGUGUCGUGAGAUGUUGGGUUAAGUCCCGCAACGAGCGCAACCCUUGUCAAUAGUUGCUACGCAAGAGCACUCUAUUGAGACUGCCGUUGAGAAAACGGAGGAAGGUGGGGAUGACGUCAAAUCAUCAUGCCCCUUAUGACCUGGGCUACACACGUACUACAAUGGUCGCUAACAGAGGGAUGCAAUGCCGCGAGGUGGAGCCAACCCCCAAAAGCGAUCUCAGUUCAGAUUGCAGUCUGAAACCCGACUGUAUGAAGAUGGAAUUGCUAGUAAUCGCGGAUCAGCAUGCCGCGGUGAAUACGUUCCCGGGCCUUGUACACACCGCCCGUCACACCAUGAGAGCCGGAAACACCCGAAGUCGUUUGCGUAACCGUAAGGAGCGCGGCGCCGAAGGUGGGUUCGGUAAUUGGGGUGAAGUCGUAACAAGGUAGCCGUAUCGGAAGGUGCGGCU